RNAcentral lists this ribosomal RNA (420 nucleotides) under uncultured bacterium. RNAcentral describes it as "bacterial SSU rRNA". It matches the Rfam family "Bacterial small subunit ribosomal RNA", at positions 9 to 412 of the family's 1533-position model. The record is from RNAcentral.
GAGUUUGAUCGUGGCUCAGGAUGAACGCUGGCGGCGUGCUUAACACAUGCAAGUCGAACGGGAAAUACUUUAUUGAAACUUUGGUGGAUUUAAUUUAUUUCUAGUGGCGGACGGGUGAGUAACGCGUGGGUAACCUGCCUUAUACUGGGGGAUAACAGCCAGAAAUGACUGCUAAUACCGCAUAAGCGCACAGAACCGCAUGGUUCCGUGUGAAAAACUCCGGUGGUAUAAGAUGGACCCGCGUUGGAUUAGCUAGUUGGCAGGGCAGCGGCCUACCAAGGCGACGAUCCAUAGCCGGCCUGAGAGGGUGAACGGCCACAUUGGGACUGAGACACGGCCCAGACUCCUACGGGAGGCAGCAGUGGGGAAUAUUGCACAAUGGGGGAAACCCUGAUGCAGCGACGCCGCGUGAAGGAAGAA